This 399-nucleotide ribosomal RNA is filed under the name uncultured bacterium. Its description in RNAcentral is "partial 16S ribosomal RNA". It matches the Rfam family "Bacterial small subunit ribosomal RNA", at positions 355 to 746 of the family's 1533-position model. The record is from RNAcentral.
UGGGGAAUAUUGCACAAUGGGCGCAAGCCUGAUGCAGCCAUGCCGCGUGUGUGAAGAAGGCCUUCGGGUUGUAAAGCACUUUCAGCGAGGAGGAAGGUGGUGAGCUUAAUACGCUCAUCAAUUGACGUUACUCGCAGAAGAAGCACCGGCUAACUCCGUGCCAGCAGCCGCGGUAAUACGGAGGGUGCAAGCGUUAAUCGGAAUUACUGGGCGUAAAGCGCACGCAGGCGGUUUGUUAAGUCAGAUGUGAAAUCCCCGGGCUCAACCUGGGAACUGCAUUUGAAACUGGCAAGCUAGAGUCUCGUAGAGGGGGGUAGAAUUCCAGGUGUAGCGGUGAAAUGCGUAGAGAUCUGGAGGAAUACCGGUGGCGAAGGCGGCCCCCUGGACGAAGACUGACGC